Prionailurus viverrinus (fishing cat) is the source of this 1139-nucleotide long non-coding RNA. RefSeq lists it as uncharacterized. The record is from RefSeq and is a predicted model, not a curated record. The transcript has 3 exons. Lineage: Eukaryota; Metazoa; Chordata; Mammalia; Carnivora; Felidae.
UAAUCAGAGGAAAGGCUUGACCUCCCUGCCGCUUCUUUGCUCUGCUUCGCUGCCCCUCCGAGCAUUUUUCUCAGGGAUACAGGGAGUAAAUUUAACCCCCAUCUCCGCCCCACAGGGGAGCUCAGAAACAUCAAAUUCCAAAUCAGCUUUUAUCAUUAUUAUUAUUAUUAUUGCCCUUCCGACCGCAAGAGCGUCUUCGUCCUCGCUUCUCAGCAGACAUAGCGACAGCUCCUCAGUUAUCCCACACGAGAUGUUGAGUCACCUGUCCUGGCCCCAGAACGGUCUUAACCCUGUGUCCUCACACGGCCUCUGGAGUGGACAGCCGAACUGUCGCUAAUGGUCAACCUCGAAUCCAUCCUAGAAAAUGCUCUCCGCAAGUCCCUGAUGGAACUGAGAAAGCAAAGUGAAGCAACAAGCCCGUAACUGAUCGCAUAUUUUCCAAAUUAGUACAUCUUCUUAUGGGAUGAUUGACCAAAGGACCCAUGUGGUAUCAUGUGACACUGUUAGUGGCAAGGAGUACAUGGGUGUGGGCAAGCAUGUGGAUGACAGUACAAGGGUUUCCUUCCUACCACCCAGGUCUUGCUUCAGAUCUUCUAAUUCGAGAACCAACCUUUAUGUUCUUAAUUUCAGCACUAGACUCAACUGAAGGGCACAGGGCAAGACGCUCAAGUACGGUGCCUCGUUUAUAAAAAGGUAGAUUUCCCGCAACUUUCGUAAGGGUGGUUCAGAAGGUCAGAUUCUGAUCUAACAUAGAAGAGAAUGGGAUUCUCCUUGACGUUUCUAUGGAUUCCUCAUAAAUAUCAGUCAGGGGCCAACGAGAACCAGACAGAUUUGAAUAACCUAUAGCAAGUCAGGGGCAGAGCCUAGAACCUGAACGUGGAGCCUUUCCCAGUAUCCCUGCCGCUGCACCAGCACGGAACAAUAAAUCAAGCAAAACAACAACUACAUCAGCACUCAGUCCUGUACCAUGGAGACUCCGAAGAUCAGGAAAUCCAGUUGUUACCUUUGAAGGGGAAUGAAAUCCAACUAGCCAGCCUUCCACCAGGCAGGGACUCGCUGCCUUGGUGGGAGCUCCCCAAAUCCGUUCCCUCCAAGACGGCUUCGCAGGAUUAUGUCACCCGAGGACAGCGCAGGGGAGG